AACAAGGAUUCCCCCAGUAACGGCGAGUGAAGUGGGAAUAGCCCAGCACCGAAUCCCUCAGCCUUGCGCUGCCGGGACCUGUGGUGUUAGGGACGACCGCUGUCGUGUUGUUCGGGUGCCCAAGUCCUCCCGAUCGGGGCCUCUCCCACAGUGGGUGUCAGGCCUUUACCGGCACUCGUCGACACGGCUAUGGUCGCCCUCGGAGUCGGGUUGUUUGGGAAUGCAGCCCAAAGUUGGUGGUAAACUCCAUCUAAGGCUAAAUACUGACACGAGUCCGAUAG
RNAcentral lists this ribosomal RNA (281 nucleotides) under Talochlamys pusio. RNAcentral's name for it is "partial 28S ribosomal RNA". It matches the Rfam family "Eukaryotic large subunit ribosomal RNA", at positions 67 to 340 of the family's 3401-position model. Lineage: Eukaryota; Metazoa; Mollusca; Bivalvia; Pectinida; Pectinidae. The record is from RNAcentral.